GACGAACGCUGGCGGCGCGCCUAACACAUGCAAGUCGAACGAGCGAGAGAGAGCUUGCUUUCUCGAGCGAGUGGCGAACGGGUGAGUAACGCGUGAGGAACCUGCCUCAAAGAGGGGGACAACAGUUGGAAACGACUGCUAAUACCGCAUAAGCCCACGACCCGGCAUCGGGUUGAGGGAAAAGGAGCAAUCCGCUUUGAGAUGGCCUCGCGUCCGAUUAGCUGGUUGGUGAGGUAACGGCCCACCAAGGCGACGAUCGGUAGCCGGACUGAGAGGUUGAACGGCCACAUUGGGACUGAGACACGGCCCAGACUCCUACGGGAGGCAGCAGUGGGGAAUAUUGCACAAUGGGGGAAACCCUGAUGCAGCGACGCCGCGUGGAGGAAGAAGGUCUUCGGAUUGUAAACUCCUGUUGUUGAGGAAGAUGAUGACGGUACUCAACAAGGAAGUGACGGCUAACUACGUGCCAGCAGCCGCGGUAAAACGUAGGUCACAAGCGUUGUCCGGAAUUACUGGGUGUAAAGGGAGCGCAGGCGGGAAGACAAGUUGGAAGUGAAAUCUAUGGGCUCAACCCAUAAACUGCUUUCAAAACUGUUUUUCUUGAGUAGUGCAGAGGUAGGCGGAAUUCCCGGUGUAGCGGUGGAAUGCGUAGAUAUCGGGAGGAACACCAGUGGCGAAGGCGGCCUACUGGGCACCAACUGACGCUGAGGCUCGAAAGUGUGGGUAGCANACAGG
RNAcentral lists this ribosomal RNA (735 nucleotides) under uncultured bacterium. RNAcentral's name for it is "bacterial SSU rRNA". It matches the Rfam family "Bacterial small subunit ribosomal RNA", at positions 28 to 776 of the family's 1533-position model. The record is from RNAcentral.